AAAAAGAAAUGAAGGGGUAGACCCGCAGCCCUCCCCGCAUCGCUCCCUCCCACCGCCGCCUCCUUGCGUCGCUCCCUCCCCGCGCCCCCUCCCACCGCCGCCUCCCCGUGCCCUCCCUACCGGCAUGCUCGACGACGGGUAUGGCGGCGUCGUGCUCGGCUCCCAUGCGAUGGGCCGCCUCCGACAUCCCAGGCGGAGCGCUCGCGCCCGCCACCGGAGAAUGCCCACGCCUGCGUCUGGUGCCGGACAACGCCCACGGACGCCGCCGCCGACGUCGCCCCCAACACCCUCCGGACGGAUCUCGGGGCGGCCAGUCCGGGGCAAUGAGCCGACGCCGGAUCUCGGGGCUGCUGAUCUCGGAAGCCGUUGCUGGGCACUUGGUCGAGAGGGGGAGGGGGAGGAGGAGGCCGCCGGGCGCUGCACGGGCGGUUCGCCGGUGGAUCUGGGGGCGGCCGGCGUGGGGGCAACGACUCACCGCUGGAUCUCAGGCCGUGAGGUAUUGAGCGCCGCCGCCGAGGUCUUGGCCGAGAGGGGGAGGGGGCAGAGGAGGCCGCCGGACGCUGGUGGGCAGGGACGGAAGCUGAGUGGCCGCUGCUAGGUGAAGCUGGGCGGCCGCUGCUGGGCGAGGCCGUGGAGGAGCGACGCUAGACCGUGGCGGGUGGGGUGCGAAGCCCUCGAGUCCAGCUGGAUUUGGAGGCUGUGGCCCUUUCUGCGCCCGCAGCAAUGCCACCUUUGUCGAGGGGCUCGAGGCCAUGACCACAUCGCACGACCCCAGGGAUGCGCGGGCCACCGAUGUCGUGCCGGUGCCAGCUGUUCGGCCGACGCCGCCGCGGCAGAUCCCGCUAGCGACGAUGAGGAGGCGACGACCACCAACAAGGCAACAACUCUGCUUCUACGGUUCUACCUGGCAUCCCGUCGCUAGACUAGCAGCACCGAAGGAAGCAUCCCAGCCGACUGAGCAACACCGAAUGGUUGUAUCUUCUAUUGGAAGAUUGGAUGAGGAUAGAUUGAUCCUGUUGUGAUUGUGUGCUCUACAAAGAAAGGGUGGAAGAUGUUGUAUAUGAAUUUGUUUUUUGCCUUUUCUUUGUUAAGAAAGAGAGUGCAUUAUCCAAAUAGAGUAGCAGAUUUCCCUAAAAAAAUGAGCAGAAAAGGAUACAGCGCCACAUGCUAAUUGCUAUUGUUACCUAUUGCUUCCGUAUUGUGAAGUCCAAAAUGCAUCUUGUUUGAGCUACAUCUCCAAUUUGGUUCUGGAGUCACAAUAACAUCUGUCUGUUUUUGAGUUAGUACUGUUCAAUGCAGGCCUCAAGGAAGCACUACUGCACCAAAAUGCAUGAGUGACAACAUUAUCUGAACUUCUAAUCAAAUUUUCCUUCAUCAGCAAGCGGCUGCUAGAUGUGAAUGUUCAUGGUUGCUCAGAAUUCAAAAUGUUGCAUAUAUUAAAUGACUGCUCUCAGACCUGCAUUAAAGCUUUUGCCAAGCAAGGCACCUCGGUUUCAUCUUGAGAUGAUGAUAAGGCUAGCUCUUGCUUACCACUUUGAUCGAUCUAGUACUAGUUGGAGACGAGCUGGGUCGCUGUCGACAGUAACCCAACGGUUAUUGUAUUUUGGGAUUGGAGGCAUCCGGUGCGGGCAUCUCCGGCGCGGUGCCGCGAAUAUUCCCUCGCUGCCCGUCGCACAGGUCACUGCCGGGCGAGCAAUGUUGGUUUCCCCCUGGAAUGCAAUGCAAUGCACACUGGCCUGCGGCGUGUGGUGGUGGAGACCGGCCGCGGGUUAAUUAAUUGGCUGUUACUGUUAGGGCCAUAACAAAUUGACCUGCAUAGCACACGUUAGCAUUGCUUGGGACAGUGACGCUGCACGCAAAAGGGACAUCCACUUUUGUGAUUUGUCAGCCAAGAGAGAGAGGAGAGAGAGGUUGUCAUCUGAGUUCAGUUUCAAGUGGUGGCAUGCUCUGCAAUUUUUUUUUCAUGCAAAUUUAUGCAGAGGAAUGAGAUUCAGGUCGAGGAUAUCAUGAUCAAUCGGUUUUCGGAAGUUGCUUGGAUGGAAAUAAUCGAGAAGUAGGCGGUUUAUAGAAAAUUUGGAAAAUUAUGAGAAGGGUGAGUUGACAAGUGCAGUUGAUUUCGCGUUUUUUGUUUUUUGGAACCCAGCCUGAGAACGUUUUUCAUUGCGAGGGAGAUUUACGACUUUGCAUAUUA
Molecule: long non-coding RNA, 2191 nt
Organism: Panicum virgatum (switchgrass)
Lineage: Eukaryota; Viridiplantae; Streptophyta; Magnoliopsida; Poales; Poaceae
Exons: 4
Source: RefSeq, a predicted model, not a curated record